RNAcentral lists this unclassified non-coding RNA (433 nucleotides) under soil metagenome. Its description in RNAcentral is "partial contains 5.8S ribosomal RNA, internal transcribed spacer 2, and large subunit ribosomal RNA". The stretch from base 1 to 120 matches the Rfam family "5.8S ribosomal RNA", at positions 35 to 154 of the family's 154-position model. The record is from RNAcentral.
GAUGAAGAACGUAGCUAAAUGCGAUACGUAAUGUGAAUUGCAGAAUUCAGUGAAUCAUCGAAUCUUUGAACGCAUAUUGCGCUCUCUGGUAUUCCGGAGAGCAUGCUUGUUUGAGUAUCAGUAAACACCUCAACUUCCAUAUCUUUUUUGAAAUGGGAGUUGGACUUGAGUGAUCCCAACGCUUUUCCUCACCGAAAAGUGGCGGGUUACUUGAAAUGCAGGUGCAGCUGGACUUUUCUCUGAGCUAUAAGCAUAUCUAUUUAGUCUGCCUAAAAAACAGAUUAUUACCUUUGCUGCAGCUAACAUAAAGGAGAUUAGUUCUUGUGCUGACUGAUGCAGGAUUCACAAAGACAGGCUUCGGCCGACUUUGUAAACUCGAUCUCAAAUCAAGUAAGACUACCCGCUGAACUUAAGCAUAUCAAUAAGCGGAGGA